RNAcentral lists this ribosomal RNA (253 nucleotides) under uncultured bacterium. Its description in RNAcentral is "partial 16S ribosomal RNA". It matches the Rfam family "Bacterial small subunit ribosomal RNA", at positions 524 to 776 of the family's 1533-position model. The record is from RNAcentral.
UACGAAGGGGGCUAGCGUUGCUCGGAAUCACUGGGCGUAAAGCGCACGUAGGCGGAUCUUUAAGUCAGGGGUGAAAGCCCAGAGCUCAACUCUGGAAUUGCCUUUGAGACUGAGUGGCUUGAGUACGGGAGAGGUGAGUGGAAUUCCCAGUGUAGAGGUGAAAUUCGUAGAUAUUGGGAAGAACACCAGUGGCGAAGGCGGCUCACUGGCCCGGUACUGACGCUGAGGCGCGAAAGCGUGGGGAGCAAACAGG